Molecule: long non-coding RNA, 231 nt
Filed under: Ananas comosus (pineapple)
Lineage: Eukaryota; Viridiplantae; Streptophyta; Magnoliopsida; Poales; Bromeliaceae
Description: long non-coding RNA (ACOM_LNC015108)
Source: RNAcentral
UAUUUAUGCCAAAACUUUUAAAAAAAUCUACUAAUGCCUAAAUAUAAAGUCCAAUCCAACAAAAAAUAAAAGAUUACUCUACUCAACCCAUCCAACCGAGCCCAUUCGGCCCGAUUACAAAUGUAAAAGAAAAAAAAAAAUCGAUUAUCAUCUCUCCUUCUACCCUCACUCAAUCCACUGAAAUCCUAGACGAAGAGCCCUUCCCUCUCUUCCUCCUACGCCAUCGCAGCC